This 695-nucleotide ribosomal RNA is filed under the name Pseudomonas sp. RNAcentral describes it as "bacterial SSU rRNA". It matches the Rfam family "Bacterial small subunit ribosomal RNA", at positions 23 to 711 of the family's 1533-position model. Lineage: Bacteria; Pseudomonadati; Pseudomonadota; Gammaproteobacteria; Pseudomonadales; Pseudomonadaceae. The record is from RNAcentral.
CUCAGAUUGAACGCUGGCGGCAGGCCUAACACAUGCAAGUCGAGCGGCAGCACGGGUACUUGUACCUGGUGGCGAGCGGCGGACGGGUGAGUAAUGCCUAGGAAUCUGCCUGGUAGUGGGGGAUAACGCUCGGAAACGGACGCUAAUACCGCAUACGUCCUACGGGAGAAAGCAGGGGACCUUCGGGCCUUGCGCUAUCAGAUGAGCCUAGGUCGGAUUAGCUAGUUGGUGGGGUAAUGGCUCACCAAGGCGACGAUCCGUAACUGGUCUGAGAGGAUGAUCAGUCACACUGGAACUGAGACACGGUCCAGACUCCUACGGGAGGCAGCAGUGGGGAAUAUUGGACAAUGGGCGAAAGCCUGAUCCAGCCAUGCCGCGUGUGUGAAGAAGGUCUUCGGAUUGUAAAGCACUUUAAGUUGGGAGGAAGGGCAGUUACCUAAUACGUAUCUGUUUUGACGUUACCGACAGAAUAAGCACCGGCUAACUCUGUGCCAGCAGCCGCGGUAAUACAGAGGGUGCAAGCGUUAAUCGGAAUUACUGGGCGUAAAGCGCGCGUAGGUGGUUUGUUAAGUUGAAUGUGAAAUCCCCGGGCUCAACCUGGGAACUGCAUGCAAAACUGGCAAGCUAGAGUAUGGUAGAGGGUGGUGGAAUUUCCUGUGUAGCGGUGAAAUGCGUAGAUAUAGGAAGGAACACCA